This 75-nucleotide transfer RNA is filed under the name Candidatus Merdivivens pullicola. Its description in RNAcentral is "tRNA-Glu". It matches the Rfam family "tRNA". From Rfam's summary of the family: Transfer RNA (tRNA) molecules are approximately 80 nucleotides in length. Lineage: Bacteria; Pseudomonadati; Bacteroidota; Bacteroidia; Bacteroidales; Muribaculaceae. The record is from RNAcentral.
GGUGGAUUCGUAUAACGGUUAGUACUCAAGAUUCUCAAUCUUGCAAUAGGGGUUCGAUUCCCCUAUCCACUACCA